GAUGAACGCUGGCGGCGUGCCUAAUACAUGCAAGUCGAGCGAACAGACGAGGAGCUUGCUCCUCUGACGUUAGCGGCGGACGGGUGAGUAACACGUGGAUAACCUACCUAUAAGACUGGGAUAACUUCGGGAAACCGGAGCUAAUACCGGAUAAUAUAUUGAACCGCAUGGUUCAAUAGUGAAAGACGGUUUUGCUGUCACUUAUAGAUGGAUCCGCGCCGCAUUAGCUAGUUGGUAAGGUAACGGCUUACCAAGGCAACGAUGCGUAGCCGACCUGAGAGGGUGAUCGGCCACACUGGAAGUGAGACACGGUCCAGACUCCUACGGGAGGCAGCAGUAGGGAAUCUUCCGCAAUGGGCGAAAGCCUGACGGAGCAACGCCGCGUGAGUGAUGAAGGUCUUCGGAUCGUAAAACUCUGUUAUUAGGAAAGAACAAAUGUGUAAGUAACUAUGCACGUCUUGACGGUACCUAAUCAGGAAGCCACGGCUAACUACGUG
RNAcentral lists this ribosomal RNA (497 nucleotides) under uncultured bacterium. Its description in RNAcentral is "partial 16S ribosomal RNA". It matches the Rfam family "Bacterial small subunit ribosomal RNA", at positions 28 to 507 of the family's 1533-position model. The record is from RNAcentral.